This is a long non-coding RNA of Felis catus (domestic cat), 1381 nucleotides long. RefSeq lists it as uncharacterized. The transcript is spliced from 2 exons. NCBI's taxonomy places the organism in Eukaryota, Metazoa, Chordata, Mammalia, Carnivora, Felidae. The record is from RefSeq and is a predicted model, not a curated record.
GGGCAGUAUGAAGAGGUGAAAGGUCACGUUAUGUAAGCGCUGGUGACAGGCCUGCGGGCCUCCAGCGGCGGAGUUGAAAAUGGGGGUCAGCGGGGGACCGAAAGGCCUGGAAUUCAAAGAGGUCAGACCAGAGAAGCCCCUUAACAUAUACAGACACUGCGCCAUCUGUCACCGACGGCGACACCGACAUCCGGGCACCACUGUCCGUGUGGUGCGCCGGAGGGGGAGGGGGAGCGCGCGGCCAGGGGCUUUGUCUUUCCACCGUGCUCCGCCCCCUCCUUAAAGGCGCCGCGUUCGGCCACGCCCGGGGAGGCGCGGGUGGGGCGGAAAGAGAGGAGGGGUUGGCGGGAAUAAGCCCCAAGAUCUUACCCAAGCGAAGGUUCUCCUGAAGAACAGCUUGAGCCCCCAGUCUUGCUCACCCCAAAGUUAACUUCUGGAAGAGAGUGUGGUGGAGAUGUGGAUACUAGUAUGGUGCUUGUUUUUAGGGGCUUGGUGGAAAGGAUCAUACAGGAGCUUCUUCGGAAAAAUAUACUAAAAGACAUUCCUAGUAAAGAUACAUCCAUUAACUCUAAUAGUCUUUCGCAGCACCUCCAAAGUUGAGGGCUCUGGACUGGGAGCUUCAGAGGAAAAACAAAAAAUAAGACAGAGACAGUUCUGAGAAAACAAGAGGCACGAAUAAUGCCAGUUCGGUGAAGAGUGCUGUCGGAAGUGCACAGUCCGAAGACAGCAGUAACUCCCUGGAGAGUGACGACAUUUGAGCUGCUUCCCCGAGCACACUACACCCACGUAGUCCAAACUAUGUCCUACCCAGGACAAGCCGAAACACUCACGGAUAAUUCUCUCCCUAAUUAAAUUGUCCCCUUCCGUUCAAAGAUCUUCACUGGCCUCAGAACAUACCUCCCCAGCCUGUUCUUCAACAGGGCGGAGAAAGCGGGGGUGCAUGGCAAUGCCAGACCCUUUUCUUCUCAUCUUGAGGUGGGAAGUCUCCCCCCAGGGAAGGGUAAGUACCAGGUCAGUCGCCAUCCCAAUGGAGCCUCCUCUGGUCACCUAGCAGAGAUAGGACUGCAUCCUCCUUCGGUAGCUAUUUCUUCUAAAAGGAUUAUGAGCAACCUCGGAGGACAGGACAUUUGAGUCGAUUGUGAAAAGCCCUUACCCCAUCAACAUUCUGGGACGGUGGUGGAGACUGCUAGCCUGAUACCUUAGAGUAUCAGUGAAGUGGUGCUAAGGUGAUGUCAACAAAAGAAGAGAAUGGUUUCCAUCUCACCUUUUCCAUUAUCCCACAUGUUCCUUCGUGGACUCCACACCUGCUACAGUAUGCUCUAGAAGGUUCUAUGCAAAGGUCCAUUCCCUAGCCAGGCUGUCUCCUGAGGGAUAGGAUUCC